AGUUCCUGUGUUUUCCCUCCUUUGUCCUUUGUUCCGCAGCCCCCAGUCCCUGCAAUGCCUCCUCUCCCACUCUACCUCCCUUAACUGGCUGCCAUUUACUCACUUUAGAUUCAUCUUGACAGUUAUGACCUCUCCAGGAAUUUCUCUAUAAUCCCCUUAGACCAGAUGCUAAAGAUACAGAUGUGAACAAGAUCCACAUGUUCUACAUCCUUCAUGGAAUUUUCAUGGAAAUGAAAUGAGCCAUGAGGCCCUGUGGACCCUACUUGCAAUGGGCUAAUGGACUGCAGUGCGGACACAAGUUAAGCUGGAUGGAUGCUGGAUUGGGCGCGGCUCCAAUAUGGGAAGGAAACUCUCAACACGGACUCUGAUUUGAGCCCUACUGAAGCCCCAGCUACACAUCUUCUAUGACUGGAUGGAGGGAAAUGAGACUUUGGAAACCAGGGGUGUAAUUCCACAGAAAUAAA
Myotis lucifugus (little brown bat) is the source of this 464-nucleotide long non-coding RNA. RefSeq lists it as uncharacterized. The transcript is spliced from 3 exons. NCBI's taxonomy places the organism in Eukaryota, Metazoa, Chordata, Mammalia, Chiroptera, Vespertilionidae. The record is from RefSeq and is a predicted model, not a curated record.